UGAACGCUGGCGGAAUGCUUUACACAUGCAAGUCGAACGGUAGAGGGGGCAACCCCUUGAGAGUGGCGAACGGGUGAGUAAUAUAUCGGAACGUGCCCAGUCGUGGGGGAUAACGUAGCGAAAGUUACGCUAAUACCGCAUACGAUCUAAGGAUGAAAGCGGGGGAUCGCAAGACCUCGCGCGACUGGAGCGGCCGAUAUCAGAUUAGGUAGUUGGUAGGGUAAAGGCCUACCAAGCCAACGAUCUGUAGCUGGUCUGAGAGGACGACCAGCCACACUGGAACUGAGACACGGUCCAGACUCCUACGGGAGGCAGCAGUGGGGAAUUUUGGACAAUGGGCGAAAGCCUGAUCCAGCCAUUCCGCGUGCAGGAUGAAGGCCCUCGGGUUGUAAACUGCUUUUGUACAGAACGAAAAGGUUUCUAUUAAUACUAGGAGCUCAUGACGGUACUGUAAGAAUAAGCACCGGCUAACUACGUGCCAGCAGCCGCGGUAAU
This 495-nucleotide ribosomal RNA is filed under the name uncultured bacterium. RNAcentral describes it as "bacterial SSU rRNA". It matches the Rfam family "Bacterial small subunit ribosomal RNA", at positions 30 to 524 of the family's 1533-position model. The record is from RNAcentral.